CCUACGGGAGGCUGCAGUAGGGAAUAUUGCUCAAUGGGGGAAACCCUGAAGCAGCAACGCCGCGUGGAGGAUGAAGGUUUUCGGAUUGGAAACUCCUUUUGGUAGAGAAGAGAAUGACGGUAUCUAACGAAUAAGCACCGGCUAACGCCGUGCCAGCAGCCGCGGUAAUACGGAGGGUGCAAGCGUUACUCGGAAUCACUGGGCGUAAAGAGCGCGUAGGCGGGAUAGCAAGUCAGAUGUGAAAUCCUAGGGCUUAACCAUAGAACUGCAUUUGAAACUUUUAUUCUAGAGUAUGGGAGAGGUAGGUGGAAUUCUUUGUGUCGGGGUCCACUCCGUAGAGAUC
Molecule: ribosomal RNA, 343 nt
Filed under: uncultured bacterium
Lineage: Bacteria
Description: partial 16S ribosomal RNA
Rfam family: Bacterial small subunit ribosomal RNA
Source: RNAcentral